Molecule: long non-coding RNA, 683 nt
Organism: Helianthus annuus (common sunflower)
Lineage: Eukaryota; Viridiplantae; Streptophyta; Magnoliopsida; Asterales; Asteraceae
Exons: 3
Source: RefSeq, a predicted model, not a curated record
UCAAUUAUUCAUGUACAUAAAGAAACACAACCACUCUGCCACUUCUGACAUUUGUGAAUAAAUCAGCACCAAAUCUUAUAAAACCGAAAAGAACCGCCUGGAACCUUUCCCCUUCCUUGCGCGACCUAACCAGCUUCCCACCAUAAAACUCUUCAUCUUUACACGAUGUUUUGACUUCAAAUUGUUACCCUUGAGUUCGGUUACAAGGAAAACGAAUCAUAGCACCGUUAAAUCGAACUUUAUGAUAACCAUAACUCAUCCUUAAUCUCAAUCAAAAGCCAUUUAAAGCUUGUAAGAACAUAAAAUGGGUUUUUACUAAAAUCGCCAAAUUCGUUUACCAAACUAAUACCCUAGAUUUCUCCGUUCAUUCCACGCAAAACCCCACUGAAAUUUCUCCAUUUCAUCACCUCUACAUCGCGAAUUUAAUCGAAGAACAUUCUAGGGCUUGUAACUUGUGCAGACGAUAUCUCCUUCAAUUCUCAACCUUUUCAGGGUUUUAUCGUAUUGUUAAUCAAAUCGUGCGGUUUAGCGAUUAAAGGAUCGAAUCUUCGCAAACUGUGUAGAGGAUUGAAGACUGGACUGGAUCAGGAUCACGUAGGAACUUUGCCAUAGUAAUUAAAAAGGACAAGUUGAUGUAUUAUUUGAAUAUUUGAAACUUAUAUGAAAAGUGUGACAUUAAAUCA